UUUUUUUUUUUUUUUACAUUAGCUGAACAGAAACCAGCAGGAAUUUUCCAGCCACAUUUUUUGGACAUUCAUUAGAGUCCUUAAAUAAACAGUAUUUAAACCCAGACUGCCAACACACUAGUAAUCGGCAUAGAUUACACCUUUGUUUACAAAGCAAACACCAAAAUCAGGAGACUUUCAGAAUCCUGCUGUGUAUCUGAUAUCUCUAAUCUCUCUUUCUCUUUUUUAAAUCUUCUUUCUUGUAGCAAUUAAAAAUGUGGCUAGUAUCCACAUACCCAUUAAAACUGUGCAUUUAAAACUAUUCCUGAUUUAAAGUAGAUGCAAUACCAUACUCAUAAAAUCAGGUUUUGUUAAUCUAAAGUUCACAGAAAUGUUCAAAUUCUCAGAUGAUUUAUUAAGAUCUGCAGAUAUCUUAAGGCAAUUUCUGGCCUUAUAUUUAUAUCUUUUUGCAUUUAAUAAUAAUAAUAUCUGACUAUGCAAAAAUGCAAACAUCCUCAGAAGUGAUAAGCGUUUGUUUUGACCUUUUAUUAUUUCACAGCGUCUGCCAUAUAGCAAUAGCACGAAUGCCAUACUUGUGUGUACGCCUGAAAAUAAGUGUACUUAGAUUUUAAAGUUGGAUUCAUUUGCAUCUCGCAUUCUUCUUAGAAGUCAAACUUGAAACAUCUUAGUUAACAUUUUUUUUUAUAAACUCAAUUCCAGAAUUUAAUCCAGUAGUAGAAAGCUUGUUUUUCACAGAUAACAUGUUUGAGUAAAAAUGGAAGUGGAUGCAUUGGUACGGGAGCAGAUCAUAAGCAACUUCAGCUGCUUUUGAGCUGAAUAGCAAAACUGAGGCUCACUUUGCUUAGAAAGGCAGCUGGCUUACCUGGGUGACAGGUAAUCUAUUGGGAUCUUCCAUAUAAGCUUUAGACCCACAUAAUUUUAAUCACAGUGUACAAAGAACUGCAUGAAUCCACCUUUCCCCAGUGGAAUCAUUCUAUUUUGUCUUGGCGUAGUUUGAGACAAGAUCACCCUUGACAUCUUUUUUCUGUGAGGCUCUGUUGAAACACGGACUACCUGAUUUGUCAGUUACAACAGGCAUUUACAGUUCAAGCUGGAAAAUGAGUGUUAAACUCCCCAAUUUUGGCAUUUCACUAACAUGCUGCUUUUGUACUUUUGUGGGUAGAGAGCAGCUUUGCUUCAGUGAUUUUCUAGAUAUAAGUAGCUUUAAAAUAUUCUUAUCCAGCCAAUGAAAUAGAGCACGGGUGAUGUUUCAACGCCACGUCAUAACAGUGAACAGUUACAGGGUCAUCGUGUCAAUAUAUUUUACUCAUCUGGAAGCCUUCCUGGAGCAUAUAAUCUCAAAACAAGUCUCAAAUAUCCAUGCUUUGAAAAAAAUCCAUUAAGAAAAGCUACUUCUAUGUCUUGCUCAGUACAUGAACUAUCAAUAACACUUUCAAAAUAUGACAAAAAAGGACAAAAAUAGAUAAGGAAAAUACAGACUUUAGCAACAAGGGUCAUUUCAUGAACUACUUACACCAUAAUUCAGAUUAAAAAAAUCAGCAUGGUAUUGAUUUUAAAUGUUUUUUUGCCAAGGGAGCAAAUCAUAAAUAUACUCAAUUAGACACAUGCAGCAUGAUAUGUACUCAAAACUUUACUAAAGAUAAAAUAUGCUUGCUCAUACGCAUACACAGCACAGACCUGUAAAUGUUGGAAUAAUAUUUACUCCCUUUCCAAGACUUCUCUUUAACUUCUCCCCUCUUCGGGAAAGAUGACGGUCCUCCUUGUUAUCCUUGGAACUGGGUGUGUAAGCCAAAUGCCAAUAAAAGACUACAUCACUGGCUAGAUUCUAAAUAAUAUUAAAAAAUAGAAUAAAUCCCACUUGGAUUCAAAGCUGCAUCACUUACUGUCACACAAUUUUGUUAACUAGCCCUGUAUUCUGGCUGUCAAAUCUCAGGUAAAGCAAGUAACUGGGGUCUCUCCCACAUGUUCUAAAGCCUUUUAAAUGCAGUUAACAAACGUAAUUAUGCAAAUGUGUAUGAAGGAGAAGGUCUGCGUCCCUGAUUCCUUGUAUUUCCCUGGAAGCCUGCAUGUACAUUAGGAAGUUUUACAAGGGAGGGGAAAGAAUUUGUUCCCAUAAUAUGUGUACUCGUCCAGUAGUUCUGUGUCUGUCUGUUGCCUUUUUAAAAUCAUAGAGCUGAUCAUCAUAGUGAGCAGCCUUCCUGUAUGUGCCAGCAAGCAAUCAGAGCCAGCUACAAGCCCAGACCCAAGCUACCCCAAUUCCUGCUCUAUGAGACGAAAAGUUCACAUCUUUUUCUACCGCUUUGAUAGAACUGCGAGUUUGGUACAAAUUUUUCCAAGCAGGGCUGAAAUUCUAAAUCUAGCCUUGCUUUCUGAAGGACACAGACUCACCUUGCAGUGUUGUUUUGCUCAGUAAAUGGCUCUCCUCCAACUAAAAAGGUCAAAUGCGUAUCUCUGAACUCUCACAUUGGCCACAUAAAAAAAGACAGAACAAUGAUCAUUCUAGCACUGAACUUUCCAUAGUUUUCAAAACGAAGGAUCCACAAGUCAAAAAAGAGAUGUAGUUCUAAGCCCAGCAUUAGUAGAGCUACAAUGACUGUCACAAGCCUUAUGACAGUUAAUUCUUAAAUUAAAGGGCUAAUUCUGGCAGAGGCAAGUCAGAAGAGGAAAGAGAACAUCUGAUUUCACUCCUGCUUUUUUCAUGUGUAUAUACUUGCCUCAAUACUGAGGGCAAAAAUGCCUGAAAAAGUGAUCAAGUAUUAUAUAAAGUUACUUAGAACACAUCAAGAACCAUCCAUGAUUAGUUUUAAUUUUUGAAUGAUGGCAACUCCCAGUAAAAAAAGAGGAUUGAAGGUCAGCCAUCACCUAGAAGACUCAUUUUCAAACAGAAAAUGAGUGUUAUGAGCAGGAUAAAUUACCAAGCUCUGGCAGCUCUGCAGCAGGCAAAACCUUACAGCAUGUAGGAGAGGCAUUUUGGUUCAUUCUUACCGCAAUAUUGCUUAGGAUACUGCUUAUGCAAUUCAACUUGCUUACAUAGUUCCUUUGGUGUAUGUUUAUAGUAGCAAUGCAUAAAGUCAAAAGGGCACAAAACCACUAACCUGAAUAUUACUUUUCUGAAAAUUGAAACAUUUAAAAUUGUAUUAAUUAUUAAAAUAAGCUUUAUUGUGAGAUGGAAAGCACACUUUAGAAAAAUAGGUGACUUUAUAUCUGAGAAAAUUCUUAUGAAUCAACAUUUUUGGGAGAUGACUAAACUUAGAAAGCUGUUCGUUAAGGAUAAUACCAACUUUAGUUAGAAGUUAGUUUGUUUCCCCAUCUGCUCACCACCUCCUCCUCCUGCUCCCUCUCGUAUUCCUGUGAGGUUAUAUUCCCUUGAGAACUUCUCCUGUUUCAAAGUAACAAGAAUUUUAAUAAAGUUACAGUCACUGGGCCAAAAUAUCUAAACGUCAGUCUCGAAUCUCACUGACCCCUGGCAAUUUAUAAUAUACAUUACUGCUCAUAGCAUGCCACACAGUAAAAGGCUUACUUUAUCUUGGCAAAUUCUACAAGAGAAAGUAAACAUUUCUUCUCUAUAAAUUUUUCCACACCAAGCAGUUGUAAUAUGAAAGCUGUAAAUCAAAGAUGAGGGAAAAAUUAUGUCACUGUUUAUCAAUUGUUUUUACUGUACCUCUACAAGUACUGGAGCUAAAGAAUGAAGUUAUAUUUGAGGAUUUAUAUAAGAAAUCUUCCAGUGGCAUAGUUACAGCAUGGUUAUCAAAAAUCUUAACAAAUUACUACUUAUAUAAAAAAUAACACUUGUAGUUGUCCUUAUCAACAAUGAAAUGUAGUAUGUAGGUAAAUAAAGUUCACCUGGUUUGGAUUUACUGCUCUGAAGUUGUAAAAUUCUAUUUGACUGAAAUAAAAAAAAAAAAUUCUCUGUGUGUGAAUACACUUUUAAGUAUUUCCGUAAUUUGUUCAUUCUGUUUAAAAUCAACGUGUUUAAAAACUUUAAACAUGCAAAAAUGGUCACUUCAUAAACUAGGAUCUUUCUUGUCUCAUACUAAUAAAAUAGUGGAUUAUUAGAAAUAUUUAUAUAUUUGAUUUUAUAAGAAGGAAGAGAAAGUAUCACAAGCAUCUACUUAAGCAGAUGGGUAUGUUGGAAUAUCUCAUUUUGUAAGCAUUAGGGGGUUUUGAUCUACUGUAUGCCUGAUGAUUCACUUACUCAAAUCCUGAUGAUUCUGGGUCAAAUCUGUGCAGAAAAUCACAACUUCAUUGGAACUACCAAAACUUUCAUUUAUGGAGUAAAUGCUGGGCUGAGACAGAUGUAAAUCUGAUCUACACCAGUGCAACAGUGAAUGGUAAGAUUUCAGUACUAAGAAGCAUUAUUGUACAAAUAUUAUUUUUAAAAAAACAGUAGAUGAGAAAAAUAUAGUUGGAAAUAAUACAUUUGAUGUUUAAAAAAGAUUUCAACACCUUCCACACCAUCUUGAAAAAAAGGCGUGUCAUAAAAUAUAAUUUGAUUUGAGCGCUUUAUCUAGGUGUAUCUUGACAUUUAAUAGCUAUAACC
RNAcentral lists this long non-coding RNA (4540 nucleotides) under Strigops habroptila (Kakapo). Its description in RNAcentral is "lncRNA (ENSSHBG00005008943.1)". Lineage: Eukaryota; Metazoa; Chordata; Aves; Psittaciformes; Psittacidae. The record is from RNAcentral.